GCACACGUCAGGCUCAGCUCUCAGGAUGGACCUGUUCACCUCUUUUCAGGAGAAACAUUCAUCUCUCUACUACCUCUUCUACAACAUUCAUCACUGAGUAAAGGACAGAGAUUCUUCCUUCUAUAAUUGUCAUGUGAUUGAAGACCCAUGAGUGGGGAGACAUUAAGAAGAAAGAAGUUGUAGCAAGAUGAAAGAAGUAACUUUGAAAUUCAACACCCAAUUGAAUGUGCAACGUUUGGAAUGGAGUAUAAAAUUAUGAAAGAAAUUCAUCCUACUGCCAUAUACUUCCUUAUCCACAUGAUCCUUGGGACCAGAAUUUGAAUCUCCAAGAAAAAGACAGAAUUUGAAAUUAUUUCUUGUACAAUAUCAAGAGUCAGACAGACUGAGCAGCCCAAAGGUUUUUAAACUAUGUUUCCAACAAUUUUGACAUCUUUCACAGUAGCCUUCGAAAGCCACGGGGACUCCUGUCACUCCCGGUCCCCAGAAGCAGCCAGCCCUUGCUGCACCCUGACUGUAAAAUAGCAGGCUUUCUGACACAUCUCUCUAACAAGCCUCAACACAGAAGUUAUCAAGAAAGCAAUGGGCCUUUUCUAAAUGGAGAAGAAAAGAAGUGCCUUGGGCUUCUGGGCUAGAUUGCUUCUCGAGAAGUGAUGCUUUGAAGGUGGCAACUUCUAUCAACAUUGCUACAGUCUUCCUAUGGUACAAGAACACAUAGCAUUUCAGAGUGCUUUACCAACUGGAAAGUUAUCUCAGUAUAUUUGUUACAUUAGUAUUUGUUAUAGCAGUAUGUAUAUGAUGUUUCAUAACACAUAUUUUAUUAGCUAGAAUGGGAAAGAAAAAUAGUUAAAGUGGAAAGAUAAAAUUAGUAUAUUUUUUGUAGUUGUCAGAACAAACACAACUUGCUCUUCCAGGAGAAGGAAAAAACAUAGCCAGAAAGAUACCCUUUCACGCCAAAUAGGCUCUCAGAAAACUCAAGACUUCCUAAGACAGAAGUGAAAUCAUUCUUUCUUCUGCUCUUUGUAUCAAUAUUUCCUUGCAAAAUUUAUCAUUGUGUCCUUCAGCAAAUAUCCUUUAACCACCCAGUUUGUUGGUUCUUAUAAAUGUACAGUUUUUUUGCCAUCUGAGGUAACCUAAAGUACAUUCUGACGGCAGUUCUAUUUAGUCCAUAUUUGGGUGAAAUGGUUAAUGAAGAAGCAGGAGAAUAUGAAAAAAAAAAUGCAGGCUGCAAUUGUUUUGUACUCUGGCAUUUAAGAAUGGCAACUUUUAUCAGCAUUAUGUUCAUUAAAAUCCAGUGGUUCAGGAUAAUCUGUCCUGGAUCAAGAAGUGAUACCACUAAGCAUAAUCCAAGAGUGGUUUUCAAGAUCAAAGUGCGUCCUGAAAUCCAAUUGCAAUUGAAAGAUGAAAGUUUUACUCCUAACAUGAGAAGUUAUUCCAUUCACUGACAUAAACGAAUUUUUGACUGGUAGACUUUGUUUUCUUUCAGUACUGUCAUUGUAAGUAGGAUAGAUGCUAUGGAAUAUAUGCCACAGUGAACACCUUGUUAUUUCAAAUGCCUAAAAUAUUCAUUUUAAUCUCAAGUUGUUUUAAUAAUAAGCAUUACAUUUUAAUUGAUUAAAGCCAGAAAUCUCCCAUUUUUAUGGCUAAAUGAUCAGGUUGGAAAUGAAUAAAUUUUUAAAUUGUUUACAGUAGAAUACAUGAAAUAUUCAAAAUUACUAAAAUGAAUUGAGCUACAUUCUACUAACAUUCUUAAAUGGAUGUCUGAAAUAUGAAUUUGUAAAUGAAUAAAGUGUUAUGAAUUUAA
Gallus gallus (chicken) is the source of this 1801-nucleotide long non-coding RNA. RefSeq lists it as uncharacterized. The transcript has 5 exons. Lineage: Eukaryota; Metazoa; Chordata; Aves; Galliformes; Phasianidae. The record is from RefSeq and is a predicted model, not a curated record.